This 253-nucleotide ribosomal RNA is filed under the name uncultured bacterium. RNAcentral's name for it is "partial 16S ribosomal RNA". It matches the Rfam family "Bacterial small subunit ribosomal RNA", at positions 524 to 776 of the family's 1533-position model. The record is from RNAcentral.
UACGAAGGGGGCUAGCGUUGCUCGGAAUUACUGGGCGUAAAGCGCACGUAGGCGGUCUUUUAAGUCGGGGGUGAAAUCCUGGAGCUCAACUCCAGAACUGCCUCGAUACUGGAAGACUCGAGUCCGGGAGAGGUGAGUGGAACUGGCGAGUGUAGAGGUGAAAUUCGUAGAUAUUCGCAAGAACACCAGUGGCGAAGGCGGCUCACUGGCCCGGUACUGACGCUGAGGUGCGAAAGCGUGGGGAGCAAACAGG